This 266-nucleotide long non-coding RNA is filed under the name Lathyrus oleraceus (garden pea). RNAcentral describes it as "Pisum sativum (pea) long non-coding RNA (PSAT_LNC020099)". Lineage: Eukaryota; Viridiplantae; Streptophyta; Magnoliopsida; Fabales; Fabaceae. The record is from RNAcentral.
AAUAAUUCAUUAAUUAUAUUUUUGUGUUUGACAAGACCUUCGGUCUUGUGCCUACGUACUAACAUAAAAAUGAGGGAUCAAAAUCUCGUAGUUAGUGAUACAUAUUUCAAAAUAAAUGCAUUGCUUUUAACAAAAAUUAAGUUUGAAAGGCACAAGGGCCUAAAAAUGGUUUGAAUGAGUUAGUUCUUUUUGGCUUUUUGAAAGUUUAAGUUAAGUAUAGUUAAGUUUAUUUACAAGUUUGAUUUAAGAAAAGAAGUUUAAAAAUG